Molecule: ribosomal RNA, 253 nt
Filed under: uncultured bacterium
Lineage: Bacteria
Description: partial 16S ribosomal RNA
Rfam family: Bacterial small subunit ribosomal RNA
Source: RNAcentral
UACAGAGGGGGCAAGCGUUGUUCGGAAUUACUGGGCGUAAAGGGCGCGUAGGCGGACAGCUUAGUCAGAGGUGAAAGCCCAGGGCUCAACCUUGGAAAUGCCUUUGAUACUGGCUGUCUUGAGUUCGGGAGAGGCGAGUGGAAUGCCGAAUGUAGAGGUGAAAUUCGUAGAUAUUCGGCGGAACACCAGUGGCGAAGGCGACUCACUGGCCCGAUACUGACGCUGAGGCGCGAAAGCGUGGGGAGCAAACAGG